UACGGGGGGGGCAAGCGUUGUUCGGAAUUACUGGGCGUAAAGGGCUCGUAGGCGGCCAACUAAGUCAGACGUGAAAUCCCUCGGCUUAACCGAGGAACUGCGUCUGAUACUGGAUGGCUUGAAUCCGGGAGAGGGAUGCGGAAUUCCAGGUGUAGCGGUGAAAUGCGUAGAUAUCUGGAGGAACACCGGUGGCGAAGGCGGCAUCCUGGACCGGCAUUGACGCUGAGGAGCGAAAGCCAGGGGAGCAAACGGG
Molecule: ribosomal RNA, 253 nt
Filed under: uncultured bacterium
Lineage: Bacteria
Description: partial 16S ribosomal RNA
Rfam family: Bacterial small subunit ribosomal RNA
Source: RNAcentral